AAUUUUGGACAAUGGGGGAAACCCUGAUCCAGCCAUCCCGCGUGUAUGAUGAAGGCCUUCGGGUUGAAAAGUACUUUUGGCAGAGAAGAAAAGGUACCUCCUAAUACGAGGUACUGCUGACGGUAUCUGCAGACUAAGCACCGGCUAACUACGUGCUCGCAGCCGCGGUAAUACGUAGGGUGACAGAGUUAAUCGCAAUUACUGGGCGUAAAGAGUUUGUAGGCGGUUCGGAAAGAAAGAUGUGAAAUCCCAGGGCUCAACCUUGGAACUGCAUUUUUAACUGCCGAGCUAGAGUAUGUCAGAGGGGGGUAGAAUUCCACGUGUAGCAGUGAAAUGCGUAGAUAUGUGGAGGAAUACCGAUGGCGAAGGCAGCCCCCUGGGAUAAUACUGACGCUCAGACACGAAAGCGUGGGGAGCAAACA
This 422-nucleotide ribosomal RNA is filed under the name uncultured bacterium. RNAcentral describes it as "partial 16S ribosomal RNA". It matches the Rfam family "Bacterial small subunit ribosomal RNA", at positions 360 to 774 of the family's 1533-position model. The record is from RNAcentral.